Molecule: ribosomal RNA, 497 nt
Filed under: uncultured bacterium
Lineage: Bacteria
Description: partial 16S ribosomal RNA
Rfam family: Bacterial small subunit ribosomal RNA
Source: RNAcentral
GACGAACGCUGGCGGCGUGCCUAAUACAUGCAAGUUGAGCGAUGAAGAUUGGUGCUUGCACCAAUUUGAAGAGCAGCGAACGGGUGAGUAACGCGUGGGGAAUCUGCCUUUGAGCGGGGGACAACAUUUGGAAACGAAUGCUAAUUCCGCAUAACAACUUUAAACAUAAGUUUUAAGUUUGAAAGAUGCAAUUGCAUCACUCAAAGAUGAUCCCGCGUUGUAUUAGCUAGUUGGUGAGGUAAAGGCUCACCAAGGCGAUGAUACAUAGCCGACCUGAGAGGGUGAUCGGCCACAUUGGGACUGAGACACGGCCCAAACUCCUACGGGAGGCAGCAGUAGGGAAUCUUCGGCAAUGGACGAAAGUCUGACCGAGCAACGCCGCGUGAGUGAAGAAGGUUUUCGGAUCGUAAAACUCUGUUGGUAGAGAAGAACGUUGGUGAGAGUGGAAAGCUCAUCAAGUGACGGUAACUACCCAGAAAGGGACGGCUAACUACGUG